GGCUCGUUGGUCUAGGGGUAUGAUCCUCGCUUUGGGUGCGAGGGGUCCGGGUUCAAAUCCCGGACGAGCCC
Molecule: transfer RNA, 71 nt
Filed under: Pollicipes pollicipes
Lineage: Eukaryota; Metazoa; Arthropoda; Thecostraca; Pollicipedomorpha; Pollicipedidae
Description: tRNA-Pro
Rfam family: tRNA
About the family: Transfer RNA (tRNA) molecules are approximately 80 nucleotides in length. Their secondary structure includes four short double-helical elements and three loops (D, anti-codon, and T loops). Further hydrogen bonds mediate the characteristic L-shaped molecular structure. tRNAs have two regions of fundamental functional importance: the anti-codon, which is responsible for specific mRNA codon recognition, and the 3' end, to which the tRNAs corresponding amino acid is attached (by aminoacyl-tRNA synthetases). tRNAs cope with the degeneracy of the genetic code in two manners: having more than one tRNA (with a specific anti-codon) for a particular amino acid; and 'wobble' base-pairing, i.e. permitting non-standard base-pairing at the 3rd anti-codon position.
Source: RNAcentral